GACGAACGCUGGCGGCGUGCCUAAUACAUGCAAGUCGAACGCUGAAGGAGGAGCUUGCUUCUCUGGAUGAGUUGCGAACGGGUGAGUAACGCGUAGGUAACCUGCCUGGUAGCGGGGGAUAACUAUUGGAAACGAUAGCUAAUACCGCAUAAUACUAGACGUUGCAUGAUAUUUUCUUAAAAGGUGCAAUUGCAUCUCUACCAGAUGGCCCUGCGUUGUAUUAGCUAGUUGGUGGGGUAACGGCUCACCAAGGCGACGAUACAUAGCCGACCGGGGAGGGUGAUCGGCCACACGGGGACGGGGACACGGCCCAGACUCCUGCGGGAGGCAGCAGUAGGGAACCUUAGGCAAUGGAGGGAAGUCUGGCCGAGUAAGGCAGAGUGAGAGGAGGAGGUUUUCGGAUCGUAAAGCUCGGUUGUAGGAGAAGAACGAGUGUGAGAGUGGAAAGUGCACAAUGUGACGGUAUCUUAAGAGAAAGCGACGGCUAACUACGUG
RNAcentral lists this ribosomal RNA (495 nucleotides) under uncultured bacterium. Its description in RNAcentral is "partial 16S ribosomal RNA". It matches the Rfam family "Bacterial small subunit ribosomal RNA", at positions 28 to 507 of the family's 1533-position model. The record is from RNAcentral.